Molecule: long non-coding RNA, 989 nt
Organism: Gymnodraco acuticeps
Lineage: Eukaryota; Metazoa; Chordata; Actinopteri; Perciformes; Bathydraconidae
Exons: 3
Source: RefSeq, a predicted model, not a curated record
UUUCGUUGCAGAUGAAGUGGAUGCAAUAGAAAUCCCACAUGUAUUGUAUGGAGAAUGGCAUGAUGAACACCGUCUGCGGAGAUCCGUUCCAAAGGUCCAACAAUUUGUGGAAGAAGUGGUCCCACAGUACAGUCCUUCAGACUUCAAAAGUCAUUUCCAAUUGUCCAGGGGACAUGUGGAAGAUGUGAUGACGACUAUUGGCCCGUUCUACUGGAACAGACAGCACAGUAAAGUGCCGCUUCAAAACAGUGUUCUUGCCUGUCUGUGGACUCUAUCAAACCAGGAGUCCUAUAGGGGGGUUGCUGAUCGUUUCAAUAUCACCAAAUCCACUGUCUGCCUGCAUCUCCAUGAAUUCUGUAGUCUUGUCACCACAUAUUUGUCUCACCACAUUUCCUGGCCCACAGGGCAAGCCCUACAUAAUUCUGAGUUAGGAUUUUGUGCAGCAGGAUUUCCCAACACUGUCUGUGCGGUAGAUGGAUGCCACAUUCCUAUUGUGAAACCACACUGUGAGAACCCAGUAGCAUACAUCAACAGAAAACAGUUUUAUUCUGUUGUGCUUACUGGGUUCUGUGACAGUAAACGGAGAUUCUGUCAUGUUAAUGUGGGCCACCCUGGUAGCUGGCAUGAUGCACGGGCAUUCCGGUUGUCUGCUGUUGGAAGGCUGCUUGAUGAAGAUCCCCAGUCCCUGGUGCCUGAGGGAAUGCACAUCAUUGGGGACUCUGCCUACCCACUACCCUCAGCUUAUGAGGCCAUACAGGGACAAUGGCCAUUUAACUGCUCGGCAGCGUCGUUUCAAUCAAAAAUUAAAUGUUGCACGCGUGGUCAUUGAGCAUACCUUUGGCCUACUGAAAACGAAGUUCAGGAGGCUCAAAUGUUUGUACAUGAAAAACAUUGCAAACAUUAGCACAGCAGUCACUGCCUGUUGCAUACUUCACAACAUGUGCUUGGAGGAAGGGGAAGCAAUUGAAGUUGAUGAGCAGGUUGAAGCA